GAAACUUUGCCUCCCUCCUCCCAGCCCACCCACAUAUGAAGUGUCACGUUGUGUUUUGUUCUCGUGGCUCAGGUGUCAUCACAGAGGAGCAAUCGUAAAUGCACGUGUACAGUCUGUGGACACAGUGAAUGGAGCUUUUUAAAUUGAAACAUAGAAGACAAAGGAAGAUCAACCCCUGCAACAUUCUUCAAUAUAAGCAGCAGAGACGGACAACUGCAACUGGCUGGUCAUGAAGAGGAAGAGAAGAUAGAAAAGAGGAGCAGAGAGAGACGAGGACACAACACCAACUAAGAGAAUACAUUUAAUAAAUGAGUUUAAUGACUUGAAAGAGAGAAGAAAAAAUGUGAGCGUAACAUGGUCAGUACCCCAGCAGUCUGAGCCUAGAGGAACAUAAUUAAGGGAUAUGCAGGGUCACCUUUUCACUUACGACAGCUAGCCAAGCAUGUCUUUUAUCCUGUCUUCCUUCUCUCACCCCAACUGGUCGCUGCAGAUGGCCCCGCCCCUCCCUGAGCCUGGUUCUGCCGGAGGUUUCUUCCUGUUAAAAGGGAGUUUUUCCUUCCCACUGUCACCAAAGUGCUUGCUCAUAGGGGGUCAUAUGAUUGUUGGGUUUUUCUCUGUAUGUAUUAUUGUAGGCUCUACCUUACAAUAUAAAGUGCCUUGAGGCAAAUAUUGUUGUUAUUUAGCACUAUAUACAGUGGGGCAAAAAAGUAUU
This is a long non-coding RNA of Astatotilapia calliptera (eastern happy), 712 nucleotides long. The record is from Ensembl. Lineage: Eukaryota; Metazoa; Chordata; Actinopteri; Cichliformes; Cichlidae.